UAGAAUUUACCAAAAUUUUAAAUCGGUUGCAAAGAAAGCUUAAAAUAUAAUAUUAUAUCAUAUAUAUAUAUAUAUAUGUGUGUGUGUGUGUGUGUAAAAGAAAAAUUACAUAAUUGUAGAGCGAGAUAUUUUGGAAAAGAAUAGAAGUGAGAAAACAUAAUCCAUGUUAGGUUUGACCUCUUCAAAGAAAGAUUUGUAGGCAUCUUUGUCACCACCCAUCACCACCAUCAUUCUCCGCUCAUUCAUU
Molecule: long non-coding RNA, 247 nt
Filed under: Carica papaya (papaya)
Lineage: Eukaryota; Viridiplantae; Streptophyta; Magnoliopsida; Brassicales; Caricaceae
Description: long non-coding RNA (CPAP_LNC001726)
Source: RNAcentral